Molecule: RNA transcript, 877 nt
Organism: Oncorhynchus keta (chum salmon)
Lineage: Eukaryota; Metazoa; Chordata; Actinopteri; Salmoniformes; Salmonidae
Gene name: 26S proteasome non-ATPase regulatory subunit 9-like
Exons: 6
Source: RefSeq, a predicted model, not a curated record
CGCCGACUCGUAGUUGUAGUUCUUUCCGGACGAGAGAGGAUCAUAAUGAUGACUGAGGAAAACAAUGGAAAUUCGACAAUGGAAGCGGUCCAAAGUCUUAUAAAAAAGAAAGACAACAUUGAAGAACAAAUUAAAGCUUACUACGACGUUUUGGAAGAUCAAGGCGUUGGAAUGGAAGGCCCUCUAGUUGAUGCAGAGGGCUUCCCUCGCGCAGAUGUUAAUGUGUACCAGAUCAGAACAGCAAGGCACAGUAUUUCUUGUCUACAGAAUGAUCACAAAGCCAUCAUGGUGGAAAUUGAGGAGGCCCUGCACAGGCUGCAUGCUCGAGAGAAGGCAAAGCGGGACCAGGACCAGGCAGAGUCCAUGGAGCAGGAGGUCACCCUGCCCUCUCCCUUCGCCCGUGUGGAUGCUGUCUCACAAGGCUCCCCUGCCUGUCAGGCUGGCCUGCGAGUUAAUGAUGAAAUCAUAGCGUUUGGAUCCGUCAACACAAGGACCUUCCAGAACCUGCAGAAUAUUGCCUCGGUGGUUCAGCAUAGUGAAGGGGUGUGUUAGUCUGAUCAGAAUAAUAAACCAUUAAGCGUUACAGUGAUUCGAAAUGGCCAGAAAACCCAAAUGGGCCUUACCCCACAGCAGUGGUCAGGGAGAGGUUUACUGGGAUGCAACAUUGUGCCCAUCCAAAAAUUAUAAGGACAAUGUGACCAGCAGGAGGAUCAGGAUCAUAAAGAUCUUCGGGUCAACCUUACCACUAGCUCUGCUUUGGUAUGCCACUGGGUGGCUGUGAGUUAAUUACAUGUUUGAGCCCAUAGAUUAGAAGACUUCCAUUUUCAACUGAUUUAAUGUCAAUUUCAUGUUCUAAUAAAAGUAUUGUUUAAGGUUA